GGUUCUAUACUUUAAUAAAAAGGUUUGAUUUGCAAUUAAAAAAUAAGGUUAUAAUUCUUUAGAACCG
RNAcentral lists this transfer RNA (67 nucleotides) under Loxosomella aloxiata. Its description in RNAcentral is "tRNA-Ala". It matches the Rfam family "tRNA". Rfam says of the family: Transfer RNA (tRNA) molecules are approximately 80 nucleotides in length. Their secondary structure includes four short double-helical elements and three loops (D, anti-codon, and T loops). Lineage: Eukaryota; Metazoa; Entoprocta; Loxosomatidae. The record is from RNAcentral.